RNAcentral lists this small RNA (478 nucleotides) under Pongo abelii (Sumatran orangutan). RNAcentral's name for it is "retained intron". The record is from RNAcentral. Lineage: Eukaryota; Metazoa; Chordata; Mammalia; Primates; Hominidae.
ACCUAUAUAUUUCUUAACACAUUUGCAAAUCCUAGUAUUAGACCACUGUGACUCACAUAGAGCAUGUGUAGGUUUUUUCCUUUGUUAAAAAUGAACAUAAUUAUGAUUUAACCACAUGGAAGUUACUGUUUAAUGUUAAUAUUAUAAUGAUACCAGAAGAUACAUUUAAAAUGUCAUUAUUUACCUUUUAGUUAUCCAAGCAUUAGGUGAACAUCUUAAAUUAAGACAACAAGUUAUUGCCACUGCUACGGUAUAUUUCAAGAGAUUCUAUGCCAGGUAUUCUCUGAAAAGUAUAGAUCCUGUAUUAAUGGCUCCUACAUGUGUGUUUUUGGCAUCCAAAGUAGAGGAAUUUGGAGUAGUUUCAAAUACAAGAUUGAUUGCUGCUGCUACUUCUGUAUGUAAGUGCAAAAAGUAUAUCUGCUUUAAGGAUGUAAUUCUAAAGAAAGCUUCAGAGUACAUAUUUUUUUUUUUUAGUUUA